UAGGAAUAUACCUUGAAGAUUGGGACAACUUGGGGAAACACAAGCUAAUACCGAAUGAGCUCGAAAGAGGAAAGCUGGGGACCGUAAGGCCUGGCGCUUUAAGAUUAGCCUGCGUCCGAUUAGCUAGUUGGUGGGUAAAGGCCUACCAAGGCGACGAUCGGUAGCUGGUCUGAGAGGAUGGCCAGCCACACUGGGACUGAGACACGGCCCAGACUCCUACGGGAGCAG
This 228-nucleotide ribosomal RNA is filed under the name uncultured bacterium. RNAcentral describes it as "partial 16S ribosomal RNA". It matches the Rfam family "Bacterial small subunit ribosomal RNA", at positions 118 to 347 of the family's 1533-position model. The record is from RNAcentral.